This 71-nucleotide transfer RNA is filed under the name Capra hircus (goat). It matches the Rfam family "tRNA". Rfam says of the family: Transfer RNA (tRNA) molecules are approximately 80 nucleotides in length. Their secondary structure includes four short double-helical elements and three loops (D, anti-codon, and T loops). RNAcentral also lists the same sequence under 1 other name. The record is from Rfam by way of RNAcentral. Lineage: Eukaryota; Metazoa; Chordata; Mammalia; Artiodactyla; Bovidae.
UCCCUAUAGCUCAAAUGGUAAAGAAUCUGCCUGCAAUGCAGGAGAUCCAGGUUCGAUCCCUGGGUUGGGAA